Molecule: ribosomal RNA, 611 nt
Filed under: uncultured bacterium
Lineage: Bacteria
Description: bacterial SSU rRNA
Rfam family: Bacterial small subunit ribosomal RNA
Source: RNAcentral
GAAUGCUCUAGAUUAAGUUGAUCAUGGCUCAGAUCUGAACGCUGGCGUGCCAAGCCUAACACAUGCAAGUCGAACGGUAACAGGAAGCAGCUUGCUGCUUCGCUGACGAGUGGCGGACGGGUGAGUAAUGUCUGGGAAACUGCCUGAUGGAGGGGGAUAACUACUGGAAACGGUAGCUAAUACCGCAUAACGUCGCAAGACCAAAGAGGGGGACCUUCGGGCCUCUUGCCAUCGGAUGUGCCCAGAUGGGAUUAGCUAGUAGGUGGGGUAACGGCUCACCUAGGCGACGAUCCCUAGCUGGUCUGAGAGGAUGACCAGCCACACUGGAACUGAGACACGGUCCAGACUCCUACGGGAGGCAGCAGUGGGGAAUAUUGCACAAUGGGCGCAAGCCUGAUGCAGCCAUGCCGCGUGUAUGAAGAAGGCCUUCGGGUUGUAAAGUACUUUCAGCGGGGAGGAAGGCGAUAAGGUUAAUAACCUUGUCGAUUGACGUUACCCGCAGAAGAAGCACCGGCUUAAACUCCGUGCCAGCAGCCCGCGGGUAAUACGGGAGGGUGCACAGCGUUUAUUCCGGAAUUACCUGGGGCCGUAAAAAGCGGCACAGCCGGCGC